RNAcentral lists this ribosomal RNA (784 nucleotides) under uncultured bacterium. RNAcentral describes it as "bacterial SSU rRNA". It matches the Rfam family "Bacterial small subunit ribosomal RNA", at positions 534 to 1328 of the family's 1533-position model. The record is from RNAcentral.
CCGAGCGUUGCUCGGAUUACUGGGCGUAAAGGGUGUGUAGGAGGUCGGAAAAGUCGAAUGUGAAAUCCCUCUGCCUAACGGAGGAACUGCGUUCGAAACUGUCUGGCUAGAGGUUCGGAUGGGGAAGCGGAACUCUCGGUGUAUCAGUGAAAUGCGUAGAUAUCGAGAGGAACACCGGUGGCGAAGGCGGCUUCCUGGACGAAACCUGACUCUGAAACACGAAAGCUAGGGGAGCAAACGGGAUUAGAUACCCCGGUAGUCCUAGCUGUAAACGGUGUGCGUUAGGUGUUGGCGGAUUCGACCCCGCCGGUGCCGAAGCUAACGCAUUAAACGCACCGCCUGAGGAGUACGGUCGCAAGGCUAAAACUCAAAGAAAUUGACGGGGGCCCGCACAAGCGGUGGAGCAUGUGGCUUAAUUCGAUGCAACGCGAAGAACCUUACCUGGCCUUGACAUGCAGCGUUCAGUCCAGGAAACGGGAUGGCCCGCAAGGGCGAGCUGCACAGGUGCUGCAUGGCUGUCGUCAGCUCGUGUCGUGAGAUGUUGGGUUAAGUCCCCCAACGAGCGCAACCCCUGUGUUUAGUUGCCGAAAGGUUCUCUAGACAGACUGCCCUCUUCAAGGGGGAGGAAGGUGGGGACGACGUCAAGUCAGGAUGGCCCUUAUGGCCAGGGCUGCACACGUGCUACAAUGCUCGGCACAAAGGGAAGCAAGACCGCGAGGUGGAGCAAAUCCCCAAAACGGAGCCCAGUUCGGAUUGAAGGCUGCAACUCGCCUUCAUGAAGCCG